AACCAGCACCUCAAGUGGUCAGGAGGAUUAUUGGGCCUAAAGCAUCCGUAGCCGGCUCUGUAAGUUUUCGGUUAAAUCCAUGUGCUCAACGCAUGGGCUGCCGAAAAUACUGCACAGCUAGGGAGUGGGAGAGGUAGACGGUACUCAGUAGGAAGGGGUAAAAUCCUUUGAUCUAUUGAUGACCACCUGUGGCGAAGGCGGUCUACCAGAACACGUUCGACGGUGAGGGAUGAAAGCUGGGGGAGCAAACCGG
This 253-nucleotide ribosomal RNA is filed under the name uncultured archaeon. Its description in RNAcentral is "partial 16S ribosomal RNA". It matches the Rfam family "Archaeal small subunit ribosomal RNA", at positions 474 to 727 of the family's 1478-position model. The record is from RNAcentral.